This 311-nucleotide ribosomal RNA is filed under the name uncultured eukaryote. RNAcentral's name for it is "partial 18S ribosomal RNA". It matches the Rfam family "Eukaryotic small subunit ribosomal RNA", at positions 1470 to 1796 of the family's 1831-position model. The record is from RNAcentral.
CCCUUAGAUGUCCUGGGCCGCACGCGUGCUACACUGAUGCAUACAGCGAGUACUCCCAGCUCCGAGAGGCUGCUGGUAAUCAGCAAUAUGCAUCGUGAUGGGGAUAGAUCUUUGGAAUUAUAGAUCUUGAACGAGGAAUUCCUAGUAAUCGCAGGUCAUCACCCUGCGUUGACUAAGUCCCUGCCCUUUGUACACACCGCCCGUCGCUCCUACCGAUUUCGAGUGAUCCGGUGAAUCAUUCGGACCGCGGCCCCUAGGCAUGCGGAAAGUCUGGUAAACCAUAUCACUUAGAGGAAGGAGAAGUCGUAACA